UACGUAGGGUGCGAGCGUUGUCCGGAAUUAUUGGGCGUAAAGAGCUUGUAGGCGGUUUGUCGCGUCUGCUGUGAAAUCUCAAGGCUCAACCUUGAGCUUGCAGUGGGUACGGGCAGACUAGAGUGUGGUAGGGGAGACUGGAAUUCCUGGUGUAGCGGUGAAAUGCGCAGAUAUCAGGAGGAACACCAAUAGCGAAGGCAGCUCGCUGGGACGGUACUGACGCUGAGGUGCGAAAGCGUGGGGAGCGAACAGG
Molecule: ribosomal RNA, 253 nt
Filed under: uncultured bacterium
Lineage: Bacteria
Description: partial 16S ribosomal RNA
Rfam family: Bacterial small subunit ribosomal RNA
Source: RNAcentral